This 484-nucleotide ribosomal RNA is filed under the name uncultured bacterium. RNAcentral's name for it is "partial 16S ribosomal RNA". It matches the Rfam family "Bacterial small subunit ribosomal RNA", at positions 30 to 507 of the family's 1533-position model. The record is from RNAcentral.
AUUGAACGCUGGCGGAAUGCUUUACACAUGCAAGUCGAACGGCAGCACGGGGGCAACCCUGGUGGCGAGUGGCGAACGGGUGAGUAAUACAUCGGAACGUGCCCGGUCGUGGGGGAUAACGUAGCGAAAGUUACGCUAAUACCGCAUACGAUCUGAGGAUGAAAGCGGGGGACCUUCGGGCCUCGCGCGAUCGGAGCGGCCGAUGUCAGAUUAGGUAGUUGGUGGGGUAAAGGCCUACCAAGCCGACGAUCUGUAGCUGGUCUGAGAGGACGACCAGCCACACUGGGACUGAGACACGGCCCAGACUCCUACGGGAGGCAGCAGUGGGGAAUUUUGGACAAUGGGCGCAAGCCUGAUCCAGCCAUUCCGCGUGCAGGACGAAGGCCUUCGGGUUGUAAACUGCUUUUGUAUGGAACGAAAAGGCUCUGACUAAUACCUGGGGCUCAUGACGGUACCGUAAGAAUAAGCACCGGCUAACUACGUG